RNAcentral lists this long non-coding RNA (201 nucleotides) under Gossypium barbadense (sea-island cotton). Its description in RNAcentral is "long non-coding RNA (GBAR_LNC001436)". The record is from RNAcentral. Lineage: Eukaryota; Viridiplantae; Streptophyta; Magnoliopsida; Malvales; Malvaceae.
GAGUGAGGAAAAAUAAUUUCAUUCACUGACUUCCUUGGACUAGCCAUACUCUCACACAAUUUCUCAAUAUGAGUAGCUAAUGAAUUUCUUGAUGAUUUUCUACUUGAACUUGAUUUUUUUCCUUUACCGUGUACAACCCCAAGUGUUUCCGUUCUUCGAUUAGGAGUUUCAUGAGAAGGGUUUGAUGGUACCUCAUUAGGA